UCCUCCUACCUCUUGCAGCGCAGGUUGUUUCACCUUCAAUAUGGAGAUCUGAACCUUUUAAUUUCCAUUUUUUUUUUCUUUUGUUUGGUUGAUCUCGUUUUUUAUUUUCAUUUUUCAUUUUUUACUGGAUUCACGAUUCUAUUGAGGUCUUUGAUCAUUUUUGUGUUUGGAUAAUGUAGGAUUGAAUAUUUGCGGGUUUUAAUGCUGCUCGUGGCACGAAAUAAGGAAAUAGAAAGUAGCUUUGCAUGUUAAUUAAGUGCGAGUGUUUCAUGUUUGAUUUUGUAGGAUAGUUGUAGCCUUAUUUAAGUGUUGUGAUUCACGCAUGAGUAGAAACAAAUGGAGCUUUAGCUGGAGUUGUUUGAUCUGUAAUUCAAAUAAUAGGGCUCUGAAAAUUUUUUUGAAGGGUGAAAUUUUUAUUUAAAUAGUUGAAUUAUUAAGGGGCGCAUUUGAAAUCUAUUGGAAACGUACUAUAUAUUUUUGAGCAUAUUAUUUGUGGACUGAGCCUUGAUGGAAAUUCACUAUACUUAAUAUGCAUGAUUGAGGUUCUGUGACUGAGGGCUGUCACUAAGAUGAUAAGUAGGACGCUAUGCUAAUGAUCUAAGAUUGAACUAUUUAAUAAAGCAUUUUGUUAUAUGAUAUGCAACUGACUGACUACAGUGCAAACUGCAUUUUUUGUUUGAAAGGAAAUUGACUAUGUUGCGUGACUCUUUAUGGGAGUGAAAUCUUGUGCUUUUUUUACAGUUUAAUUUGGAUACUCUUUUUCCUUCUAGGUUUUCUAGUUUCAAGUGUGGUUAUUAAUAGUGUAUGUAAACAACCAUUAUCUACAUCCUUUUCUUUAUUCUUUCUUUCAUGCAUGUUACUAGGCAUUUGCCCGCGCGUUGUUUGAUCUCUUGAAUUUUUCAAAUUGUUAUAUAAAAUUGUUAUGUGUCAUUCUACAAUACAAACCCCUAAUAUUUGAGGGGGGGAAAAAGCAUAAUGGUUUCAGAGAAUGUACAAGCAUAAUGGUCAAGAUCCAUUAUCUUACUUGCACAUCUCUUUCAAAAUUAAAAUUCAUUUACACCACAUAUGUUUUGGUGUAUUCUUGUUUGCAGAUAUUUGUAUAUUUGCAUCUAUUUGUUAAUUGGAUUUUUUAUUUAUUUUACUUUUUAGAUAAAAAAAUGAUAUUUACUGGUUGAGAUGUAUUUAUGUUUAUAGCAGUUUUUCUGUUUUCCAGUUAGCCUCAUUUUUAGGGAAACUCUAUUAGUUUCUAGGUCACACUUAUCCUUAUAAAGCAGGGAUAGGGUGUGACAGUGCCAAUAUUCUUGUACUAGCAUUUUUCUGAACUAUAUCAAAUACUGCUUCACCAUUUGUAGAGAAAUUUCUAGAACUUAUUGCAUAUAUAGUUUUUCACUACUAACUCAUCAAGUUGAAAUCAAAGAAGUGACAGUUUAAAAAAAACAAAUGAUCGAGUUUGGUAUAUAUAAAAUGUACCAUCUUAUAGGUAUUGCCAAAAACUUAAUACCAAUUGUAUUACCUCACUUUAACCCUUCAUUUGUCAAAAGCACAUUUUUCUUUUAUAAAUAACAAAGGUAGUAAAGACAAUAAAAGAAAAAUUCAUGUUUAAUUUGAGUAGCUGGAACUUUACAUUGUUCUUUUUGCUGUAAACCAUCCCAUACAUAAUCAUCAUUUUGUGCAAUCAUCAACACAAGCCAUGAUGGCUUUGUAUAAAGUUUCAAGCACUUACCUGUGCAAGUAAUAAUAGAAGAAAUUGGCAGAGUAAUGUUUAAACAAUUCCUGAUAUUCAAGCUGCAAGAGAAAAAGAUUUAUGAAAAUGAAUGCAUGUUCCUGCAAAUGCAUGUACCUGCAAAUGCAUGUACCGGCAAAUGCAUGUACCUGCAAAUGCAUGUAC
This 1888-nucleotide unclassified non-coding RNA is filed under the name Hevea brasiliensis (rubber tree). Lineage: Eukaryota; Viridiplantae; Streptophyta; Magnoliopsida; Malpighiales; Euphorbiaceae. The record is from RNAcentral.